This 904-nucleotide ribosomal RNA is filed under the name Kocuria sp. NA32. RNAcentral describes it as "bacterial SSU rRNA". It matches the Rfam family "Bacterial small subunit ribosomal RNA", at positions 54 to 969 of the family's 1533-position model. The record is from RNAcentral. Lineage: Bacteria; Bacillati; Actinomycetota; Actinomycetes; Micrococcales; Micrococcaceae.
CAUGCAAGUCGAACGAUGAUGCCCAGCUUGCUGGGCGGAUUAGUGGCGAACGGGUGAGUAAUACGUGAGUAACCUGCCCUUGACUCUGGGAUAAGCCUGGGAAACUGGGUCUAAUACUGGAUACUACCUCUUACCGCAUGGUGGGUGGUGGAAAGGGUUUUACUGGUUUUGGAUGGGCUCACGGCCUAUCAGCUUGUUGGUGGGGUAAUGGCUCACCAAGGCGACGACGGGUAGCCGGCCUGAGAGGGUGACCGGCCACACUGGGACUGAGACACGGCCCAGACUCCUACGGGAGGCAGCAGUGGGGAAUAUUGCACAAUGGGCGGAAGCCUGAUGCAGCGACGCCGCGUGAGGGAUGACGGCCUUCGGGUUGUAAACCUCUUUCAGUAGGGAAGAAGCGAGAGUGACGGUACCUGCAGAAGAAGCGCCGGCUAACUACGUGCCAGCAGCCGCGGUAAUACGUAGGGCGCAAGCGUUGUCCGGAAUUAUUGGGCGUAAAGAGCUCGUAGGCGGUUUGUCGCGUCUGCUGUGAAAGCCCGGGGCUCAACCCCGGGUCUGCAGUGGGUACGGGCAGACUAGAGUGCAGUAGGGGAGACUGGAAUUCCUGGUGUAGCGGUGAAAUGCGCAGAUAUCAGGAGGAACACCGAUGGCGAAGGCAGGUCUCUGGGCUGUUACUGACGCUGAGGAGCGAAAGCAUGGGGAGCGAACAGGAUUAGAUACCCUGGUAGUCCAUGCCGUAAACGUUGGGCACUAGGUGUGGGGGACAUUCCACGUUUUCCGCGCCGUAGCUAACGCAUUAAGUGCCCCGCCUGGGGAGUACGGCCGCAAGGCUAAACUCAAAGGAAUUGACGGGGGCCCGCACAAGCGGCGGAGCAUGCGGAUUAAUUCGAUGCACGCGAAAACC